This 253-nucleotide ribosomal RNA is filed under the name uncultured bacterium. RNAcentral's name for it is "partial 16S ribosomal RNA". It matches the Rfam family "Bacterial small subunit ribosomal RNA", at positions 524 to 776 of the family's 1533-position model. The record is from RNAcentral.
UACGGAGGAUCCGAGCGUUAUCCGGAUUUAUUGGGUUUAAAGGGAGCGUAGGCGGGUUGUUAAGUCAGUUGUGAAAGUUUGCGGCUCAACCGUAAAAUUGCAGUUGAUACUGGCAUCCUUGAGUACAGUAGAGGUAGGCGGAAUUCGUGGUGUAGCGGUGAAAUGCUUAGAUAUCACGAAGAACUCCGAUUGCGAAGGCAGCCUGCUGGACUGUAACUGACACUGAGGCUCGAAAGCGUGGGGAGCAAACAGG